GAUGAACGCUGGCGGCGUGCCUAACACAUGCAAGUCGAGCGAACAGACGCUGAGCUUGCUCCGUUGUCGUGAGCGGCGGGCGGGUGUGAAACACGUGUAUAACCCACCUAUCAGACUGGGAUCACCUCGGGAAACCGGCUCUUAUACCGUAGAAUAUACUGAACCGUAUGGGGCAUUGGUGAAAGACGGCUUUGCUGUCUCUUAUAGAUGGAUCCGCGCCGCAUUAGCUGGUUGGUGAGUUAACGGCUUUUCAAGGGUACGAUGCGUAGCCGAAUUGCCAGGGGGAUCGGCCACACGGGAGCUGGGACACGGUCAAGACUCCUAAGGGAGGCAGCAGUAGGGAACCUUCCGCAAUGGGCGAGAGCCUGACGGAGCAACGCGGCGUGAGUGAUGAAGGUCUUCGGAUCGUGAAGCUCUGUUAUUAGGGAUGAACAAAUGUGUAAGGAACUAUGCACGUCUUGACGGUACCUAAUCAGAAAGCAACGGCUAACUACGUG
Molecule: ribosomal RNA, 497 nt
Filed under: uncultured bacterium
Lineage: Bacteria
Description: partial 16S ribosomal RNA
Rfam family: Bacterial small subunit ribosomal RNA
Source: RNAcentral